RNAcentral lists this ribosomal RNA (666 nucleotides) under uncultured bacterium. RNAcentral describes it as "bacterial SSU rRNA". It matches the Rfam family "Bacterial small subunit ribosomal RNA", at positions 8 to 694 of the family's 1533-position model. The record is from RNAcentral.
AGAGUUUGAUCCUGGCUCAGGACGAACGCUGGCGGCGUGCUUAACACAUGCAAGUCAAGGGGGCCCAGCAAUGGGCAACCGGCGAACGGGUGCGUAACACGUYAGCAACCUACCGAAAUGUGGGGGAUAGCCGGCCUAACGGCCGAGUAAUACCGCAUACGCUCUCGAUGAGGCAUUUCAUUGAGAGGAAACCUACGGGACAUUUCGAGGGGCUCGCGGCCUAUCAGCUAGUUGGAGAGGUAACGGCUCACCAAGGCGACGAUCAGUAGCUGGUCUGAGAGGAUGGUCAGCCACACUGGGACUGAGAUACGGCCCAGACUCCUACGGGAGGCAGCAGUGGGGAAUAUUGCACAAUGGGCGAAAGCCUGAUGCAGCGACGCCGCGUGAGGGAUGACGGCCUUCGGGUUGUAAACCUCUUUCAGUAGGGAAGAAGCGAAAGUGACGGUACCUGCAGAAGAAGCGCCWGCUAACUACGUGCCAGCAGCCGCGGUAAUACGUAGGGCGCAAGCGUUAUCCGGAAUUAUUGGGCGUAAAGAGCUCGUAGGCGGUUUGUCGCGUCUGCCGUGAAAGUCCGGGGCUCAACUCCGGAUYCUGCGGUGGGUACGGGCAGGCUAGAGUGAUGUAGGGGAGACUGGAAAUUCCUGGUGUAGCGGUGAAAUGCGUAGA